RNAcentral lists this ribosomal RNA (440 nucleotides) under uncultured bacterium. Its description in RNAcentral is "partial 16S ribosomal RNA". It matches the Rfam family "Bacterial small subunit ribosomal RNA", at positions 338 to 795 of the family's 1533-position model. The record is from RNAcentral.
CCUACGGGUGGCAGCAGUGGGGAAUAUUGCACAAUGGGGGGAACCCUGAUGCAGCGACGCCGCGUGAGUGAAGAAGUAUUUCGGUAUGUAAAGCUCUAUCAGCAGGGAAGAAAAUGACGGUACCUGACUAAGAAGCCCCGGCUAACUCCGUGCCAGCAGCCGCGGUAAUACGUAGGGGGCAAGCGUUAUCCGGAUUUACUGGGUGUAAAGGGAGCGCAGACGGCUGUGCAAGUCUGGAGUGAAAGGCGGGGGCCCAACCCCCGGACUGCUCUGGAAACUGUAAAGCUGGAGUGCAGGAGAGGUAAGCGGAAUUCCUAGUGUAGCGGUGAAAUGCGGAGAUAUUAGGAGGAACACCAGUGGCGAAGGCGGCUUACUGGACUGCAACUGACGUUGAGGCUCGAAAGCGUGGGGAGCAAACAGGAUUAGAUACCCCGGUAGUC